This 308-nucleotide ribosomal RNA is filed under the name uncultured bacterium. RNAcentral describes it as "partial 16S ribosomal RNA". It matches the Rfam family "Bacterial small subunit ribosomal RNA", at positions 505 to 807 of the family's 1533-position model. The record is from RNAcentral.
GAGACAGCAGUCGCCGCGGUAAUACGGAGGGCGCGAGCGUUACCCGGAUUUACUGGGCGUAAAGGGCGUGUAGGCGGCCUGGGGCGUCCCAUGUGAAAGGCCACGGCUCAACCGUGGAGGAGCGUGGGAUACGCUCAGGCUAGAGGGUGGGAGAGGGUGGUGGAAUUCCCGGAGUAGCGGUGAAAUGCGCAGAUACCGGGAGGAACGCCGAUGGCGAAGGCAGCCACCUGGUCCACUUCUGACGCUGAGGCGCGAAAGCGUGGGGAGCAAACCGGAUUAGAGACCCCAGUAGUCCCUGUCUCUUAUAC